CCCAUCUGCCCACAUGCCGAAUCUGGGGAUUUGUUGACUGUAGACUUGUCAGGCUGCACAAUACCAUCAUAUAUAAGUGAAGCUAAACUGCUGUUUUAGAGUGCUGACUUGCUUAUCUUUGAUUUAAUGUGAUACCACUUACUACCCACUGUUUUGUUUUAUUAGUUAUUAGAAUUUCUGUCACCUCUCCCUACUUAUGGAAUCGUUUUAAG
Non-coding RNA from Pelobates cultripes (western spadefoot toad), 212 nucleotides. Lineage: Eukaryota; Metazoa; Chordata; Amphibia; Anura; Pelobatidae. The record is from the annotation of a GenBank genome assembly.